CACGUAGGGGGCAAGCGUUGUCCGGAAUCAUUGGGCGUAAAGCGCGCGUAGGCGGCCCGGUAAGUCCGCUGUAAAAGUCCAGGGCUCAACCCUGGAAAGCCGGUGGAUACUGUCGGGCUCGAGUCCGGAAGAGGCGAGUGGAAUUCCUGGUGUAGCGGUGGAAUGCGCAGAUAUCAGGAGGAACACCGAUGGCGAAGGCAGCUCGCUGGGACGUUACUGACGCUGAGACGCGAAAGCGUGGGGAGCAAACAGG
This 253-nucleotide ribosomal RNA is filed under the name uncultured bacterium. Its description in RNAcentral is "partial 16S ribosomal RNA". It matches the Rfam family "Bacterial small subunit ribosomal RNA", at positions 524 to 776 of the family's 1533-position model. The record is from RNAcentral.